CAGUUAUUGGUAAUAUGAAUAAACAUCAAAGCAUGGACAACUCUUUGCUCAGAUGCUUCUUUAAGCAUAUUGCAACCAUUUGGUCUCUAAGUCAUGUGGGUUCACCUAACAGUUAUUGCCCACACUCUUUGUUAAGUCAGACCCACCGUUCACGAGUAGGUGCAAAGCUAUCAUUUGGUCCCUCACCUAACAGUUAUUGGGCCCAACCCCAUCUCUACCCUGGAGCAAUUCUUUGUUAAUAGAGUGGUUGUGUGUUCUUGAUGCAACUGAACCAUUGUGAUCAGUCGAAAACAAUCAACGCCGGUAGUACG
This 311-nucleotide long non-coding RNA is filed under the name Elaeis guineensis (African oil palm). RNAcentral's name for it is "long non-coding RNA (EGUI_LNC038688)". Lineage: Eukaryota; Viridiplantae; Streptophyta; Magnoliopsida; Arecales; Arecaceae. The record is from RNAcentral.